This 615-nucleotide ribosomal RNA is filed under the name Lactococcus garvieae. Its description in RNAcentral is "bacterial SSU rRNA". It matches the Rfam family "Bacterial small subunit ribosomal RNA", at positions 65 to 677 of the family's 1533-position model. Lineage: Bacteria; Bacillati; Bacillota; Bacilli; Lactobacillales; Streptococcaceae. The record is from RNAcentral.
AGCUUGCUAUUUUUAUGAAGAGCGGCGAACGGGUGAGUAACGCGUGGGAAAUCUGCCGAGUAGCGGGGGACAACGUUUGGAAACGAACGCUAAUACCGCAUAACAAUGAGAAUCGCAUGAUUCUUAUUUAAAAGAAGCAAUUGCUUCACUACUUGAUGAUCCCGCGUUGUAUUAGCUAGUUGGUAGUGUAAAGGACUACCAAGGCGAUGAUACAUAGCCGACCUGAGAGGGUGAUCGGCCACACUGGGACUGAGACACGGCCCAGACUCCUACGGGAGGCAGCAGUAGGGAAUCUUCGGCAAUGGGGGCAACCCUGACCGAGCAACGCCGCGUGAGUGAAGAAGGUUUUCGGAUCGUAAAACUCUGUUGUUAGAGAAGAACGUUAAGUAGAGUGGAAAAUUACUUAAGUGACGGUAUCUAACCAGAAAGGGACGGCUAACUACGUGCCAGCAGCCGCGGUAAUACGUAGGUCCCAAGCGUUGUCCGGAUUUAUUGGGCGUAAAGCGAGCGCAGGUGGUUUCUUAAGUCUGAUGUAAAAGGCAGUGGCUCAACCAUUGUGUGCAUUGGAAACUGGGAGACUUGAGUGCAGGAGAGGAGAGUGGAAUUCCAUGGGUA